UACGUAGGGGGCAAGCGUUGUCCGGAAUGAUUGGGCGUAAAGGGCACGCAGGCGGUUUGUUAAGUUGGAUGUCAAAGGCACUGGCUCAACCAGUGUACGCAUCCAAAACUAAUGAACUUGAGUGCAGGAGAGGAGAGUGGAAUUCCCGGUGUAGCGGUGGAAUGCGUAGAGAUCGGGAGGAACACCCGUGGCGAAGGCGACUCUCUGGCCUGCAACUGACGCUGAGGUGCGAAAGCGUGGGGAGCGAACAGG
This 252-nucleotide unclassified non-coding RNA is filed under the name uncultured Pasteuriaceae bacterium. RNAcentral describes it as "contains 16S-23S intergenic spacer region". It matches the Rfam family "Bacterial small subunit ribosomal RNA", at positions 524 to 776 of the family's 1533-position model. The record is from RNAcentral. Lineage: Bacteria; Bacillati; Bacillota; Bacilli; Caryophanales; Pasteuriaceae.